UGGUGGCCGUCUCUAUCUGUCCUAUCAGU
RNAcentral lists this non-coding RNA (29 nucleotides) under Mus musculus (house mouse). Lineage: Eukaryota; Metazoa; Chordata; Mammalia; Rodentia; Muridae. The record is from RNAcentral.